RNAcentral lists this unclassified non-coding RNA (213 nucleotides) under soil metagenome. RNAcentral's name for it is "partial contains 5.8S ribosomal RNA, internal transcribed spacer 2, and large subunit ribosomal RNA". The record is from RNAcentral.
AACAUCGCGCACCUGCGGGAACCUGCGGAAGGAUCAUUACAAGUGACCCCGGUUUACCACCGGGAUGUUCAUAACCCUUUGUUGUCCGACUCUGUUGCCUCCGGGGCGACCCUGCCUUCGGGCGGGGGCUCCGGGUGGACACUUCAAACUCUUGCGUAACUUUGCAGUCUGAGUAAACUUAAUUAAUAAAUUAAAACUUUCAACAACGGAUCU